GGGCCCAUAGCUCAGGCGGUUAGAGCGCUUCGCUGAUAACGAAGAGGUCCCAGGUUCAAGUCCUGGUGGGCCCA
Molecule: transfer RNA, 74 nt
Filed under: Amycolatopsis orientalis
Lineage: Bacteria; Bacillati; Actinomycetota; Actinomycetes; Pseudonocardiales; Pseudonocardiaceae
Also listed under: 87 other names
Description: tRNA-Ile
Rfam family: tRNA
About the family: Transfer RNA (tRNA) molecules are approximately 80 nucleotides in length. Their secondary structure includes four short double-helical elements and three loops (D, anti-codon, and T loops).
Source: RNAcentral